GAGUUUGAUCUUGGCUCAGAGCGAACGUUGGCGGCGCGCUUAACACAUGCAAGUCGCACGAGAAAAGGGGCAACCCUGAGUAGAGUGGCGCACGGGUGCGUAACACGUAGGCAAUCUUCCCUCAGGAGGGGGAUAACCAUCCGAAAGGAUGGCUAAUACCGCGUAAGACCACGGCUGCUUCGGCAGCUGCGGUCAAAGGGGGCCUCUCCAUGGAAGCUCUCACCUGAGGACGAGCCUGCGGCCCAUCAGCUAGUUGGCAGGGUAACGGCCUACCAAGGCUAAGACGGGUAGCUGGUCUGAGAGGAUGAUCAGCCACACUGGCACUGAAACACGGGCCAGACUCCUACGGGAGGCAGCAGUGGGGAAUAUUGGACAAUGGGCGAAAGCCUGAUCCAGCGACGCCGCGUGGGUGAUGAAGGCCU
This 422-nucleotide ribosomal RNA is filed under the name uncultured delta proteobacterium. RNAcentral's name for it is "bacterial SSU rRNA". It matches the Rfam family "Bacterial small subunit ribosomal RNA", at positions 9 to 417 of the family's 1533-position model. Lineage: Bacteria; Deltaproteobacteria. The record is from RNAcentral.